GAGGAUAUAGCUCAGUGGUAGAGCAUGUACUUAGCAUGCAGAGGUUCUGGGUUCAGUCCCCAGUACCUCCA
This 71-nucleotide transfer RNA is filed under the name Camelus bactrianus (Bactrian camel). It matches the Rfam family "tRNA". Rfam says of the family: Transfer RNA (tRNA) molecules are approximately 80 nucleotides in length. Their secondary structure includes four short double-helical elements and three loops (D, anti-codon, and T loops). Further hydrogen bonds mediate the characteristic L-shaped molecular structure. tRNAs have two regions of fundamental functional importance: the anti-codon, which is responsible for specific mRNA codon recognition, and the 3' end, to which the tRNAs corresponding amino acid is attached (by aminoacyl-tRNA synthetases). tRNAs cope with the degeneracy of the genetic code in two manners: having more than one tRNA (with a specific anti-codon) for a particular amino acid; and 'wobble' base-pairing, i.e. permitting non-standard base-pairing at the 3rd anti-codon position. The record is from Rfam by way of RNAcentral. Lineage: Eukaryota; Metazoa; Chordata; Mammalia; Artiodactyla; Camelidae. RNAcentral also lists the same sequence under 2 other names.